ACGGGAGGCAGCAGUAGGGAAUAUUGCACAAUGGGGGAAACCCUGAUGCAGCGACGCCGCGUGAGCGAUGAAGUAUUUCGGUAUGUAAAGCUCUAUCAGCAGGGAAGAUAAUGACGGUACCUGACUAAGAAGCCCCGGCUAACUACGUGCCAGCAGCCGCGGUAAUACGUAGGGGGCAAGCGUUAUCCGGAUUUACUGGGUGUAAAGGGAGUGUAGAUGGCAUGGCAAGUCAGAUGUGAAAGCUCGGGGCUCAACCCCGGAACUGCAUUUGAAACUGUCAAGCUGGAGUGCAGGAGAGGAAAGUGGAAUUCCUAGUGUAGCGGUGAAAUGCGUAGAUAUUAGGAGGAACACCAGUGGCGAAGGCGGCUUACUGGACUGUAACUGACGUUGAGGCUCGAAAGCGUGGGGAGCAAACAGGAUUAGAUACCCUGGUA
RNAcentral lists this ribosomal RNA (434 nucleotides) under uncultured Clostridium sp. RNAcentral's name for it is "partial 16S ribosomal RNA". It matches the Rfam family "Bacterial small subunit ribosomal RNA", at positions 341 to 792 of the family's 1533-position model. The record is from RNAcentral. Lineage: Bacteria; Bacillati; Bacillota; Clostridia; Eubacteriales; Clostridiaceae.